GACGAACGCUGGCGGCGUGCUUAACACAUGCAAGUCGAACGGAAAGGCCCUGCUUUUGUGGGGUGCUCGAGUGGCGAACGGGUGAGUAACACGUGAGUAACCUGCCCUUGACUUUGGGAUAACUUCAGGAAACUGGGGCUAAUACCGGAUAGGAGCUCCUGCUGCAUGGUGGGGGUUGGAAAGUUUCGGCGGUUGGGGAUGGACUCGCGGCUUAUCAGCUUGUUGGUGGGGUAGUGGCUUACCAAGGCUUUGACGGGUAGCCGGCCUGAGAGGGUGACCGGCCACAUUGGGACUGAGAUACGGCCCAGACUCCUACGGGAGGCAGCAGUGGGGAAUAUUGCACAAUGGGCGGAAGCCUGAUGCAGCAACGCCGCGUGCGGGAUGACGGCCUUCGGGUUGUAAACCGCUUUCGCCUGUGACGAAGCGUGAGUGACGGUAAUGGGUAAAGAAGCACCGGCUAACUACGUGCCAGCAGCCGCGGUGAUACGUAGGGUGCGAGCGUUGUCCGGAUUUAUUGGGCGUAAAGGGCUCGUAGGUGGUUGAUCGCGUCGGAAGUGUAAUCUUGGGGCUUAACCCUGAGCGUGCUUUCGAUACGGGUUGACUUGAGGAAGGUAGGGGAGAAUGGAAUUCCUGGUGGAGCGGUGGAAUGCGCAGAUAUCAGGAGGAACACCAGUGGCGAAGGCGGUUCUCUGGGCCUUUCCUGACGCUGAGGAGCGAAAGCGUGGGGAGCGAACAGGCUUAGAUACCCUGGUAGUCCACGCUGUAAACGGUGGGUACUAGGUGUGGGGUCCAUUCCACGGGUUCCGUGCCGUAGCUAACGCUUUAAGUACCCCGCCUGGGGAGUACGGCCGCAAGGCUAAAACUCAAAGGAAUUGACGGGGCCCCGCACAAGCGGCGGAGCAUGCGGAUUAAUUCGAUGCAACGCGUAGAACCUUACCUGGGUUUGACAUGGAUCGGGAGUGCUCAGAGAUGGGUGUGCCUCUUUUGGGGUCGGUUCACAGGUGGUGCAUGGCUGUCGUCAGCUCGUGUCGUGAGAUGUUGGGUUAAGUCCCGCAACGAGCGCAACCCUUGUUCACUGUUGCCAGCACGUUAUGGUGGGGACUCAGUGGAGACCGCCGGGGUCAACUCGGAGGAAGGUGGGGAUGACGUCAAGUCAUCAUGCCCCUUAUGUCCAGGGCUUCACGCAUGCUACAAUGGCUGGUACAGAGAGUGGCGAGCCUGUGAGGGUGAGCGAAUCUCGAAAAGCCGGUCUCAGUUCGGAUUGGGGUCUGCAACUCGACCUCAUGAAGUCGGAGUCGCUAGUAAUCGCAGAUCAGCAACGCUGCGGUGAAUACGUUCCCGGG
RNAcentral lists this ribosomal RNA (1343 nucleotides) under uncultured bacterium. Its description in RNAcentral is "16S ribosomal RNA". It matches the Rfam family "Bacterial small subunit ribosomal RNA", at positions 28 to 1378 of the family's 1533-position model. The record is from RNAcentral.